UAUCCACCCGGGCGUGCAUGCGGGCACGAAGGGGCACGC
RNAcentral lists this ribosomal RNA (39 nucleotides) under Alexandrium margalefii. RNAcentral describes it as "partial Eukaryotic large subunit ribosomal RNA". Lineage: Eukaryota; Dinophyceae; Gonyaulacales; Pyrocystaceae. The record is from RNAcentral.